GGGCCUCUAGCUCAUGGUGGUCAGAGCAGCGGACUCAUAAUCCGUUGGUGCCGGGUUCGACCCCCGGGGGGCCCACCA
Molecule: transfer RNA, 78 nt
Filed under: Burkholderiales bacterium
Lineage: Bacteria; Pseudomonadati; Pseudomonadota; Betaproteobacteria; Burkholderiales
Also listed under: 2 other names
Description: tRNA-Met
Rfam family: tRNA
About the family: Transfer RNA (tRNA) molecules are approximately 80 nucleotides in length. Their secondary structure includes four short double-helical elements and three loops (D, anti-codon, and T loops).
Source: RNAcentral